This 220-nucleotide ribosomal RNA is filed under the name uncultured bacterium. RNAcentral's name for it is "partial 16S ribosomal RNA". It matches the Rfam family "Bacterial small subunit ribosomal RNA", at positions 326 to 539 of the family's 1533-position model. The record is from RNAcentral.
ACGCUCGACACCUCGAGGCAGCAGUAGGGAAUCUUCCACAAUGGACGCAAGUCUGAUGGAGCAACGCCGCGUGAGUGAAGAAGGUUUUCGGAUCGUAAAGCUCUGUUGUUGGUGAAGAAGGAUAGAGGUAGUAACUGGCCUUUAUUUGACGGUAAUCAACCAGAAAGUCACGGCUAACUACGUGCCAGCAGCCGCGGUAAUCUGAGCGGGCUGGCAAGGC